This 18-nucleotide non-coding RNA is filed under the name Arabidopsis thaliana (thale cress). The record is from RNAcentral. Lineage: Eukaryota; Viridiplantae; Streptophyta; Magnoliopsida; Brassicales; Brassicaceae.
CGCUGGUUCAAAUCCAGC